This 72-nucleotide transfer RNA is filed under the name Camelus bactrianus (Bactrian camel). It matches the Rfam family "tRNA". From Rfam's summary of the family: Transfer RNA (tRNA) molecules are approximately 80 nucleotides in length. Their secondary structure includes four short double-helical elements and three loops (D, anti-codon, and T loops). RNAcentral also lists the same sequence under 1 other name. The record is from Rfam by way of RNAcentral. Lineage: Eukaryota; Metazoa; Chordata; Mammalia; Artiodactyla; Camelidae.
GGAGAUAUAGCUCAGUGGUAGAGUGCAUCCUUGGUGUGCAUGAGGUCCUGGGUUCAAUACCCAGUGUUUCUC